This 126-nucleotide ribosomal RNA is filed under the name uncultured eukaryote. Its description in RNAcentral is "partial 18S ribosomal RNA". It matches the Rfam family "Eukaryotic small subunit ribosomal RNA", at positions 1679 to 1801 of the family's 1831-position model. The record is from RNAcentral.
CUACUACCGAUUGAAUGGCUUAGUGAGGCGUUCGGAGAGCCUAUAAGGUGCUGGCAACCAGUGCUUUACUGGUUCAAAGUUCUACGAACUUGGUCAUUUAGAGGAAGUAAAAGUCGUAACAAGGUU